This 961-nucleotide long non-coding RNA is filed under the name Actinidia chinensis (golden kiwifruit). RNAcentral describes it as "long non-coding RNA (ACHI_LNC005718)". Lineage: Eukaryota; Viridiplantae; Streptophyta; Magnoliopsida; Ericales; Actinidiaceae. The record is from RNAcentral.
UCAAAAUGGGACGAACCAAAAGAAUUUGAAUUCGCUGCCACCACAUAGACUUCUAAAAAUUCAAUUGGAGUUCCCACUACUGCACAAGGAAAAUUAUAAAGUCAAAUAAUUUUUUAGUCAUUGUCCACAUAAAAAAGAAGGGGUUUUUAAGUUGAAUCGAUCACGUUACUUGAAUUAGGUAGCAGGCAGUUACAGAUCAAAUCAGAAGCACAUAACAGAGCAGAUCAACCCCAUGACGGAUGCAUAUAUGAAAUGUAUGUCAUAGGUGCCAUAAUCGAAAAUUGUUUUCAUGAAUUUUUUGGUAAACAACCCAUUUAUAAGAAAACAACAAAAGUUGUUCCUAACUUUCCGAAAACAAUUCUCGUAAAAAAAUGAAUAUCAUGUGAAAAGGAUGAGUAUUUUUUAGUUUUCGAAAAACAGAAAACAGAGCUAUUUCAUCUUUUGUACAUGCCCAUGUUAUAACACAUGCACUAAUUUUUCAUGUUCUAAAUAAGAGAACUGAAAUCAAAAGUGGAGGAAGAUGAUACCGAAGCAGAUGUCUUAGUGAAAGCAGAGUAAAUUAUAUAAGAUUCUUGUAGACAUUUUAUCGAACAGAUUGUAGCUAAACCCUCAAUUAAUGAUUGUGUUACUCAAUCUGAUAAGUUCAACAGCACCUAUGGCAUAAUAGAGGCAUGGCCUUCGUCAACCACAAAGACGACAGUUCAAUAGCGAUUGGAGCGCUAUUCUGAAUGAAGAACCACCAGUUCAUUGCGGCUUCUUCGGCAUCGAUACCCAAAUUCAGCAGUGGACCAUUUGUGAUUUGCUAGCAGUUUUUGGAAUCAAAUACGAGAAAUAGUAAUAAGGGCAAGAUAAGAAAGCUUCAAAACCCUAUAAAGAAAGAUGAGGUGAGAGAGAUGCAGCGGAGAUGGACAACCAAAGCCUAUUAGUUAUUACGGUGGAAAGGAGAGAGAGAGAGAGAGAG